AGGUGAGCGGGUCCUAAUGUGUCCAGGGCAGCGGUGGUGGGGUGAUCGUGUACAGUUGUGAUACUGUUAUCUUGAUUCUUGUGCCAAAUGCGAUGUUUGCUGUGACUGACAGGCUAAAGACGAAUUUACUAGUGACUGAUGUGCAGUGUGAGUGACGAGAUGAAGGAAAACUGUGUGCUGAGGUGUGCGCUUCAUUACGAGGCGCCCGUGAUGGGAGGAGCAAAUGGUUGUUGAUGUGCAUUAGAGCAGCUGUUAGUUUGAUUGGCUGGCGUUGUUAGCGGGUGUGUUUGUGAAGUGAAAGUUGGUGCACACAAUGUAAUGCAAGGGGAGAUGUUGUGGCUAAUGCAAUGUGGAUGGCUGGAUACUGUCGACAAUGUAGUCACUAGCAGACAAUGUGUUGGUGGCAGGAAGUGUUGCCAUACUGUGGUGAUGCCGGCGAAUCUGGUGGCCAGUUCAACCUAGCCAACCAGGGAGUAUUAACGUAAGAUACGGCAAUACCGCCGAAAAGUACUGUGUUAUGAUACUGUGGAGUGUGGUGAGAGUGGUGUCAGUGUCAUCCUCUAUCGCAUGUGUGUCCACGAUGACUGAGAUCAGAAGGACAAGCUCAGUGUUGUGAGUCCUGCGUGAACUUGGCAAAUAAGGAAGUGUGGCUGUCAGACAUCUUGCCUAACAACCUCUCUGGUAUUGUGUAGUGAAGUCUGUCAUCAAGAGGAGGUUCAAUUGAAGAAAGGUUCAACCAAUAUUUUUGUCUUCAGGAAACAAACCUUCCAUCUCUUCACAAGCGUGGAUGUCGCAACACUGAGUGAGAGAGAUGGGUUUGCAUUGCAUUGCCGGCUGUCGAUACCUGCCAGGCUGCCACACGAAGGCCGAGAGGCGACUCUGCCAUCACAUCAGAUCACAAAUGUCUGCAGUACGCAACUCCAUUUCAGGCUACUCUCCACCUGAGGCCUGCCACACUCAGCCCGUAUAGUCUGCAUGCCUGUCGUCUUGGAAACCUCGACACGCCUCAUCUCUCCUUUACACAGAGCAGCAACACAGUCCAAGUUUUACCAAUCAAUGGAAUCACCGCUGCCUCGUUAUGCCUUUGUUAUGUGUCUCCGCUCUUUGUCGUCCCCAUGUCCUGCCAUUGCCGUGAAACUUGGCGCUUGGGAGCCGUACGUCCUGAGCGCAGUGUGAUUUACUCGUCAAGGCAGCGGGGAAGUGGGGAUGACAGUGUUGCAAGCCCGCUGCGUCUCACUGCCUUGCGUCACAACCAAAGUCCACCACUUCACCAUCCAACCAGCCCACCAGCCAACCAACCCACCAGCCAACCAGCCAUCACAUUCAAAGCCGGCUGAGCGCUAAUAUGUUCAAAAGGCUUCCUACAUCUGUCUGGCCAGCGCUGCAGAACGUGGUGUUGUGAUUUACCUCCUGAAAAGUGACGAGGGAUCGAACGACACGGAGGCAGUGAAAGAGGGAGAGGGAGAGGGAGAGGGAGAGGGAGAAGGGAAGGUCUAGGGCUGACUGUGUGUGUGGACUGUUCCCUGCGUCCUGAGAAGGUUUUUUUGAUGGGGAAAGAAAAAUCACCAGUUGUCUGAAUUUCCCUGCACCAGUUUAACCAGCAUCCUACCUGCCCGCCCGCGUGCCCAAGACACCUUCCCUGGCUCACCAUUAGAGUUGGAGAAGAAAAUGGC
Portunus trituberculatus (swimming crab) is the source of this 1673-nucleotide RNA transcript. RefSeq lists it as uncharacterized. NCBI's taxonomy places the organism in Eukaryota, Metazoa, Arthropoda, Malacostraca, Decapoda, Portunidae. The record is from RefSeq and is a predicted model, not a curated record. The transcript has 9 exons.